AUUGAACGCUGGCGGCAGGCUUAACACAUGCAAGUCGAACGGUAACAGGAAACAGCUUGCUGUCUCGCGGACGAGUGGCGGACGGGGGAGUAAUGUCUGGGAAACUGCCUGAUGGAGGGGGAUAACUACUGGAAACGGUAGCUAAUACCGCAUAACGUCGCAAGAGCAAAGAGGGGGGCCAUCGGGCGCCUCGCGAUUGUAGGUGCCCAGAUGGGAGUAGCUCGGUGGUGGGGUGACGGCUCACCAAGGCGACGCUCCCUAGCUGGUCUGAGAGGGUGACCAGCCACGCUGGAACUGAGACACGGUCCAGACUCCUACGGGAGGCAGCAGUGGGGAAUAUUGCACAAUGGGCGCAAGCCUGAUGCAGCCAUGCCGCGUGUAUGAAGAAGGCCUUCGGGUUGUAAAGUACUUUCGGCGGGGAGGAAGGGAUUACAGUUAAUACCUUGCCUCAUUGACGUUACCCGCAGAAGAAGCACCGGCUAACUCCGUG
RNAcentral lists this ribosomal RNA (490 nucleotides) under uncultured bacterium. RNAcentral describes it as "partial 16S ribosomal RNA". It matches the Rfam family "Bacterial small subunit ribosomal RNA", at positions 29 to 507 of the family's 1533-position model. The record is from RNAcentral.